Molecule: ribosomal RNA, 465 nt
Filed under: Vreelandella stevensii
Lineage: Bacteria; Pseudomonadati; Pseudomonadota; Gammaproteobacteria; Oceanospirillales; Halomonadaceae
Description: partial 16S ribosomal RNA
Rfam family: Bacterial small subunit ribosomal RNA
Source: RNAcentral
CCUACGGGAGGCAGCAGUGGGGAAUAUUGGACAAUGGGGGGAACCCUGAUCCAGCCAUGCCGCGUGUGUGAAGAAGGCCCUCGGGUUGUAAAGCACUUUCAGGGAGGAAGAACGCCUGGUGGUUAAUACCCAUCAGGAAAGACAUCACUCACAGAAGAAGCACCGGCUAACUCCGUGCCAGCAGCCGCGGUAAUACGGAGGGUGCGAGCGUUAAUCGGAAUUACUGGGCGUAAAGCGCGCGUAGAUGGCUUGAUAAGCCGGUUGUGAAAGCCCCGGGCUCAACCUGGGAACGGCAUCCGGAACUGUCAAGCUAGAGUGCAGGAGAGGAAGGUAGAAUUCCCGGUGUAGCGGUGAAAUGCGUAGAGAUCGGGAGGAAUACCAGUGGCGAAGGCGGCCUUCUGGACUGACACUGACACUGAGGUGCGAAAGCGUGGGUAGCAAACAGGAUUAGAUACCCUUGUAGUC